CAAACCUCACAUUUCACUUUAGUCCUUUGACCUUUUCCUGGAAAGGCAAAUGGACUUCCCAGAUAGCUCAAAAUGGAGGAGGAUCCAAAGUCCAGCCCAAGUGAGGUUGUUUGGGAAAGUAAGCAGAGCAUGGGAGCAAAGUGCAAAGGUUGAGCUGAGCCAUUAACUAGGAGGCUUAACUCAUGGGCAGAGGAAGGAAGACGCUAGAUAAAAAUGGGAAACCUGAAGAAUGGAAUCUGACUGACUGGCUCAGGUCAGCCCUUCCCACUAGACCACAGGUCUGAGUCCAGCCCAUGGAUGAAUAGCCAUGUUUUUAAAGGAACACAUUCCUGAGCCAACUAACUGAAGCAGUGCGUGGGUGGUGGCACUAUGGCGCCAGCAUUCCAUAUGGGUACUGGUUCUAGUCCCGGCUGCUCCUCUUCCAAUCCAGCUCUCUGCUGUGGCCUGGGAAAGCAGUAGAAGAUGGCCCAAGUCCUUGGGCCCCUGUACCCAUGUGGGAGACCUGGAAGAAGCUCCUGCCUCCUGGCUUCGGAUCGGUGCAGCUCCGGCUGUUGUGGCCAUUUGGGGAGUGAACCAGUGGAUGGAAGAUUUUUCUGUCUCUACUUCUCACUGUCUGUAAC
Oryctolagus cuniculus (rabbit) is the source of this 620-nucleotide non-coding RNA. Lineage: Eukaryota; Metazoa; Chordata; Mammalia; Lagomorpha; Leporidae. The record is from RefSeq and is a predicted model, not a curated record.